UGUAACGUCAGGUGGAUGUCUCAUUGAGC
RNAcentral lists this non-coding RNA (29 nucleotides) under Mus musculus (house mouse). The record is from RNAcentral. Lineage: Eukaryota; Metazoa; Chordata; Mammalia; Rodentia; Muridae.